AGUGAACGCUGGCGGUAGGCCUAACACAUGCAAGUCGAACGGCAGCACAGUAAGAGCUUGCUCUUACGGGUGGCGAGUGGCGGACGGGUGAGGAAUACAUCGGAAUCUACUUUUUCGUGGGGGAUAACGUAGGGAAACUUACGCUAAUACCGCAUACGACCUACGGGUGAAAGCAGGGGAUCUUCGGACCUUGGGCGAUUGAAUGAGCCGAUGUCGGAUUAGUUAGUUGGCGGGGUAAAGGCCCACCAAGGCGACGAUCCGUAGCUGGUCUGAGAGGAUGAUCAGCCACACUGGAACUGGAACACGGGCCAGACUCCUACGGGAGGCAGCAGUGGGGAAUAUUGGACAAUGGGCGCAAGCAUGAUCCAGCCAUACCGCGUGGGUGAAGAAGGCCUUCGGGUUGUAAAGCCGUUUUGUUGGGAAAGAAAAGCAGCAGGUUAAGACGCCGCUGUUCUGACGGUACCUAAAGAAUAAGCACCGGCUAACUUCGUG
Molecule: ribosomal RNA, 492 nt
Filed under: uncultured bacterium
Lineage: Bacteria
Description: partial 16S ribosomal RNA
Rfam family: Bacterial small subunit ribosomal RNA
Source: RNAcentral